This 488-nucleotide ribosomal RNA is filed under the name uncultured Saprospiraceae bacterium. RNAcentral describes it as "bacterial SSU rRNA". It matches the Rfam family "Bacterial small subunit ribosomal RNA", at positions 28 to 505 of the family's 1533-position model. Lineage: Bacteria; Pseudomonadati; Bacteroidota; Saprospiria; Saprospirales; Saprospiraceae. The record is from RNAcentral.
GAUGAACGCUAGCGGGAGGCUUAAUACAUGCAAGUCGAGGGGUAACAUGGGAGAAUUUCGGUUUUCCUGAUGACGACCGGCGAACGGGUGAGUAACGCGUACGCAAUCUACCUUUAAGUGGGGAAUAGCCCUGGGAAACUAGGAUUAAUGCCCCAUGUGAUAAUGAUAUGGCAUCAUAUUAUUAUUAAAGCUGAGGCGCUUAAAGAUGAGCGUGCGUGCUAUUAGCUAGUUGGUAAGGUAAAGGCUUACCAAGGCUACGAUAGCUAGGGGGCGUGAGAGCGUGAUCCCCCACACGGGUACUGAGACACGGACCCGACUCCUACGGGAGGCAGCAGUAAGGAAUAUUGGACAAUGGGCGCAAGCCUGAUCCAGCCAUCCCGCGUGCAGGAUGACUGCCCUAUGGGUUGUAAACUGCUUUUGUAUGAGAAGAAUCCUUCGGAUUUAUCUGAAGUUGACGGUAUCAUAAGAAUAAGCACCGGCUAACUCCG